RNAcentral lists this ribosomal RNA (253 nucleotides) under uncultured bacterium. Its description in RNAcentral is "partial 16S ribosomal RNA". It matches the Rfam family "Bacterial small subunit ribosomal RNA", at positions 524 to 776 of the family's 1533-position model. The record is from RNAcentral.
CACGUAGGGUGCGAGCGUUGUCCGGAAUUAUUGGGCGUAAAGAGCUCGUAGGCGGUGUGUCGCGUCGGCCGUGAAAACCUGCAGCUUAACUGUGGGCUUGCGGUCGAUACGGGCGGGCUAGAGUUCGGUAGGGGAGACUGGAAUUCCUGGUGUAGCGGUGAAAUGCGCAGAUAUCAGGAGGAACACCGGUGGCGAAGGCGGGUCUCUGGGCCGAUACUGACGCUGAGGAGCGAAAGCGUGGGGAGCGAACAGG